This 1192-nucleotide long non-coding RNA is filed under the name Phascolarctos cinereus (koala). Its description in RNAcentral is "lncRNA (ENSPCIG00000032304.1)". The record is from RNAcentral. Lineage: Eukaryota; Metazoa; Chordata; Mammalia; Diprotodontia; Phascolarctidae.
GUCUUUGUAACCCCAAAUGGUCCGUGCUAUGCCCAGCAUUCUAUUUGUUGAAUUUAAAUGGUUUCCUCAUGGGGGGAGGGGAAGGAAUGGCUACAGCACACCCACUUACAUUAAUUAGACAGAGGGCAGGCCCCGACUGAAGAUGCUAUAUUCUUUUUUCUUUUUUUAACAUAAAAAAUCUUGAGCUCUAAAUUUUUCCUCUCUUUCCAGCUCUCCCCUGUUUAUUGUGAAGGCAAGCAAUAGGUUAGCAUUCAUACAUGUGAAAUCAUGCAGGAAUAUUUCCAUACUAGCCAUGUCUCAAAAAAAAAGCAAGAAAAAUAAAGUGAAAAAUUUAUACUUCAAUUUGCAGUUAGAGGUUCAUCAGUUCUCUCCUGGAGAUGGAUAGCAUUUUUCAUCCUGAGUCCUUUGGAAUUGUCUUGGAAAUUUGUAUUGAUCAGAGUAGCUACAUCUUCUACAAUUGAUCAACAUUACAAUAUUCAUCAUUACUGUGUACAGUGAUCUGGUUCUGCUCACUUUACUCUGCAUCAGUUCAUAUGGAUCUUCCCAGUUUUUUCUGACACCAUCCUCCUCAUCAUUUCUUAUAGCACAAUAAUACUCCAUCACAAUCAUACCACAAUUUGUUCACAUGCUGAUGUUUUCUUCUGCUUCCCAAAGGACUGGGGAGGGCGGAGUCUGGGAGCGGGUUCAACAGGAAACAGAGCUUUGGGAUCAGCCGAGGCCUGCAGCUAGAACUGAAGAGCAGGGAGCAAAGGAGGCCGCCCCCGCAGGGACCCAGCGGGGACUCGAUGUUCCCGGCUCCGACUCCGCCCCAGAGCAGCAACUAUGCCUAACUCCUAGCUCUUCCAUGCACUUGAAUACCAAUCUCCAGGCAUCUACACAAGUCAUACCAACCUUACAAUGUAAGUUCCUUGUCAAAAUCCUGUUCCUUAAAGGUUUUGCUCAGGAGUCAUUUCCUGUAAGACAACUUUCCUAAUUCCCCCUGAAGAAAGUGCUCUGUCCCUCCUCAAAUUCUCCUAGAGCUUUUGUCUAUCUCUCCUUUGCCACUCUCAGAAUACAGUCCUACUUAUCUGUGUACACAUUUCAUGCCCUACCGGCUCCUAGGAAACUACGAACUUCUUGAAGGUUGGGUCUGCGCUGAGCAAAAGGCCUUUUAUUUAGCCAGUGCUCAAUAGUCUGGUGAAGUGAAUUGACC